RNAcentral lists this ribosomal RNA (253 nucleotides) under uncultured bacterium. RNAcentral describes it as "partial 16S ribosomal RNA". It matches the Rfam family "Bacterial small subunit ribosomal RNA", at positions 524 to 776 of the family's 1533-position model. The record is from RNAcentral.
GACGAACCGUGCGAACGUUGUUCGGAAUCACUGGGCUUAAAGGGCGCGUAGGCGGGCUGGCCAGUCCGGGGUGAAAGCCCACGGCUCAACCGUGGAAGUGCCCCUGAUACUGCCAGCCUCGAGGGAGGUAGGGGCGUGCGGAACUUCCGGUGGAGCGGUGAAAUGCGUAGAUAUCGGAAGGAACACCGGUGGCGAAAGCGGCGCGCUGGACCUCUUCUGACGCUGAGGCGCGAAAGCCAGGGGAGCAAACGGG